AGUGAACGCUGGCGGUAGGCCUAACACAUGCAAGUCGAACGGCAGCACAGUAAGAGCUUGCUCUUACGGGUGGCGAGUGGCGGACGGGUGAGGAAUACAUCGGAAUCUUCUUUUUCGUGGGGGUUAACGUAGGGAAACUUACGCUAAUACCGCAUACGACCUACGGGUGAAAGCAGGGGAUCUUCGGACCUUGCGCGAUUGAAUGAGCCGAUGUGGGAUUAGCUAGUUGGCGGGGUAAAGGCCCACCAAGGCGACGAUCCGUAGCUGGUCUGAGAGGAGGGUCGCCCGCACUGGAAGUGAGACACGGUCCAGACUCCUACGGGAGGCAGCAGUCGGGAAUGUUGGACAAUGGGCGCAAGCCUGAUCCAGCCAUACCGCGUGGGUGAAGAAGGCCUUCGGGUUGUAAAGCCCUUUUGUUGGGAAAGAAAAGCAGUCGGUUGAUACCCCGCUGUUCUGACGGUACCCAAAAAAUAAGCACCGGCUAACUUCGUG
This 492-nucleotide ribosomal RNA is filed under the name uncultured bacterium. RNAcentral's name for it is "partial 16S ribosomal RNA". It matches the Rfam family "Bacterial small subunit ribosomal RNA", at positions 29 to 507 of the family's 1533-position model. The record is from RNAcentral.